Molecule: small nucleolar RNA, 138 nt
Filed under: Ornithorhynchus anatinus (platypus)
Lineage: Eukaryota; Metazoa; Chordata; Mammalia; Monotremata; Ornithorhynchidae
Source: RNAcentral
CCCUUCUCAGGAUCGCACCUGAAGAGUUUCCAGUACUCUACCAGUCUCGGCUAUGGGAGGGAGACUCAAACAGAGGCCUACCCAUUCCAUUCCUAGCUUGGCCAAUGGCUGGCGAGUGGAGGGCAAUCUGCUGUAAGU